This 71-nucleotide transfer RNA is filed under the name Marmota monax (woodchuck). RNAcentral's name for it is "tRNA.Ala". Lineage: Eukaryota; Metazoa; Chordata; Mammalia; Rodentia; Sciuridae. The record is from RNAcentral.
GAGGUUGUGGCUCAGAGGUAUUGUGCUCACCUAGCAUGUGAGAGGCCCUGGGUUCUAUCCUCAGCACCACA